This 197-nucleotide ribosomal RNA is filed under the name uncultured bacterium. RNAcentral's name for it is "partial 16S ribosomal RNA". It matches the Rfam family "Bacterial small subunit ribosomal RNA", at positions 328 to 539 of the family's 1533-position model. The record is from RNAcentral.
ACGCUCGACACCUACGGGAGCAGCAGUGGGGAAUAUUGCACAAUGGGGGAAACCCUGAUGCAGCGACGCCGCGUGAAGGAAGAAGUAUCUCGGUAUGUAAACUUCUAUCAGCAGGGAAGAAAGUGACGGUACCUGACUAAGAAGCCCCGGCUAACUACGUGCCAGAAGCCGCGGUAAUCUGAGCGGGCUGGCAAGGC